This 465-nucleotide ribosomal RNA is filed under the name uncultured bacterium. RNAcentral describes it as "partial 16S ribosomal RNA". It matches the Rfam family "Bacterial small subunit ribosomal RNA", at positions 28 to 507 of the family's 1533-position model. The record is from RNAcentral.
GACGAACGCUGGCGGCGUGCUUAACACAUGCAAGUCGAACGGAAAGGCCCUGCUUGCAGGGUACUCGAGUGGCGAACGGGUGAGUAACACGUGGGUGAUCUGCCCUGCACUUCGGGAUAAGCUUGGGAAACUGGGUCUAAUACCGGAUAGGAACCAUCUUUAGUGUGGUGGUUGGAAAGUUUUUUCGGUGUAGGAUGAGCUCGCGGCCUAUCAGCUUGUUGGUGGGGUAAUGGCCUACCAAGGCGGCGACGGGUAGCCGGCCUGAGAGGGUGUACGGCCACAUUGGGACUGAGAUACGGCCCAGACUCCUACGGGAGGCAGCAGUGGGGAAUAUUGCACAAUGGGCGCAAGCCUGAUGCAGCGACGCCGCGUGGGGGAUGAAGGCCUUCGGGUUGUAAACUCCUUUCGCUAGGGACGAAGCUUUUUGUGACGGUACCUAGAUAAGAAGCACCGGCUAACAACGUG